AGCCGCAAACAUACGCACGACCCCACUCCCCUCUCUCUGCCGCCCGCGUUGCCAUCGCCGCGACAUUGCGCUUCCUGUGCAUUCUUUGAACCUUCGCCCUCUCCCCUUUCCGCUGCCCCGCCCUCGGCUGCAUCGCCUCUCCCCUUGCGUGUGUGUCUGUGCUGCUGCUGGCCCAGUCGCCGAGCCAGACUCGCUCUUUGCUGUUUGUUGUUCCACGGAGCGCAGCCAUCGACUCGACGCGCGGCAACCGCAGGAAGCGCGAGACUAAUCGGCUGAUAUACACGCCAAGCGACUCUGCAGAGACACGCGCUCACACACUGGCACACCACCAAACCGACGAUAAUGAAGGGCUUCCUGAAAAACACAAAGUCGUCCGGAGGCUUUGACCCGGUCAAGGUGCGCGCCAACAUCCGCAUGGCCACCACGCGUCUAGGAAUGCAGAAGAACAAGCUGGUGAACAGCGUCAAGACGCAGCGCCGCAGCGUUGCAGAGUUGCUCGCUCUGGAGAAGUACGACUCUGCUCGCAUUCGGGUCGAGAACUGUAUCCGCGAGGAUGUGAACAUCGAAGGCUACGAGGUGCUGUCGCUCUUCCUCGACCUGUUGGCGAAUCGUGUGCAGCUCAUCGCCGAAAGCAAACCGCUCAAGACGGACAAAAACAAGAAGGACCCGAGCUCGGCAUGCCCGCCGGAGCUGAAGGAGGCGAUUACGUCGGUUCUGUGGGCGAGCGCGCGUAUCGGUGACUCGGUGCCGGAGCUGGCGGCGCUGCGCAAGAUGUUUGAGUCGAAGUUCGGUCACGAGUUUGUCGAGAUGUCGAUGUCGAAUGCCGAGUUUUCCGUGAACCAGCGGAUGAUGGAGCGGCUCGGCAUGUACACGCCGCCGAACGACAAGUGCGUUGCCUACCUCACCAACAUCGCGAGCGAGUUCCAACUGACGAACUACGACGAGGAGCGACUUCGAGACCCAAACGGGCUGGUCGCGUCGGCAGCUGCGGCCAGCGGUGGUGGCGUCGAGUGCUCCGGUGCCGGUGCAGCGUUGAGCCAGCAGGUGUGCGGCUCUGUGCGGACGCCAUCUGGCCUGCACAUCCCGCCCAUGCAGGCCCCCUACGACGCCAUUGACCAGCGCCUCCUGCAGCUGAUGUGCGUCUAGUAACUGCGCAUGUAUGUAAGCUUGGGGUAGGGAAUGGCACAGCUCCUCCGUCAGAGGCGCAUACAUGACGGCGAGCAAGGGACGAAGGCGGCGAGAACCACUGAGCGCUUCCAGACACAGACGAGGGUCUUCACGUGCCGCGAUCCAAUUAUAGAGCACCGUCCGACCCUCCCCUCCGCCUCCUGCUCCUGUCGUUCGCGUUCCUCAGCCCACGCCGUGUUGCCCGUCACGUGCUCGCCGCCUUGUGCCUUCCUUCAUCUUCUGCGGCAUACGGUGUGGGCCGGCUCUGUUGGUGAGUGCUCAGGCACUUGCCGGGUAUCGUGCUCCCCGUUGACUGUCUUCUCCUCCGUCUUACUGUGAUGGACAGGCUUAUGCAGCAUCCAUCUCCAGUGUCUGUGCCCUUGGUCCUUCGCCUCUUCGCGCUCCUCUCCUCCCAUUUCGUGCCUCAUGUUCCGGUUCUUAUGCUUCUUUCCGAAGCAGCAGCGUGCGCUGCUGCCUGUUGCACUGUCGCGUGUUUGCUGCUCGUCCUCCCCCCGUUGCUCCCUUGUGACGGACAGCCCCCCUCUGUGGGCGGUAUAAACAGGGUUCGGCGCUCGCACUCUCUGUGCGGGAGAAGCCAGUCGACCCCCCCAGCCCCUGCCCCUCUCCCUGCCGAUGCCGAGCCCCUCCCCCUCCCCCCUGCUGGUGGUGUCAGGGGGAGGCACCCACCUAGGUAGGGAUGCCAGAGCGAUGUGUGGCUGCUGAUGUCGGCGGUCGUGUCCUGGGGCGGCGUUGCGUCGGCGCGACCCGCGACCGUGGGCACGUCUGUGGCAUCCAUAUGAGAAUAGGCAAAGCAUCAGGGUGACUCGAAGGUACCUCACCCCUACCCCCGACCCACACACGCCCCACACCGGUGUGGGGAGGCUGAGCCACCGCGAGGGGGGGGCGGGGAGGGAUGCGCGAGGUGGCGUCUGGGCAUCACGUGAGCGGCUGCGAGGCGACCUGCGGGGGCCGAGGUGUGAGUGGACAGAGUAUGAGGCCGAGGCGGUGCUUCGAUGAUCGGGCCGGCGCGCUGGUGUAGCGCGCGUGUGUCUACGGCUGCAUGGGCACCACACACGGGACGGGUCUGUGAAGGUCCAGGGCUGGAGUGGCGCGGGGAGGGGGGCCGUUCGAGUCGCGUUGAAUGGCACCGGGUGGACUCGGUGGCAAAGCCGUUGUUCGGUCGUCUGCUUCUCUCCGUUUGCGGAUGCUCCCGACACGCACACAUGUGCGCACGCGCAUCCAUGUAUGUACGCUGUGCGUGGAUUUUGAUGUGUAUUCAUCUGCUGCCUGUUGGUAGACGGCAGGAGGAGGGACGGCUGGUUCUUGUGACAGCGCCGUGGGCUGCCGGUAAUGCGUGUAUGUGCUAGCGAGUUGUCUGCUCUGCACAGCCGCCUUUGUGUUUUGGUUUUCUUUCUGCAUGCUGCCUAAUUCGUUGGCCGCGCCGUUGUGUCAUUGCAUGCCCAACUGCAUUCUUCGACAUCUUCUCCUGCGCACGUGUUCAAUGUGUUGAUGGCUGUCACUGUCGUCGACUGCGCCACUUGCCGCGUUCACCGUCAUCACGCCAGGUGCGUAUGUGAGUGUAUGUGUGUCUCUGUCGACGUGCCGUCACCACGCGGAUGGAGAUGAUCUUGACAUGUACAGCUGUGCUACCCCCCGCCUCUGUCGCCUUUCUGCACCUCAUUCCUUCGCGCAUUGCGUUGCACCUCCUGCGCCGUGCAUCGGAGUGCUUCAGGGAAAAGGCCAUGAGGGAGCAGUGGCGAUAGGCGAGUUGGGGUGGGGUGGGGCGUACACCAGCAAGCCAAG
RNAcentral lists this unclassified non-coding RNA (2970 nucleotides) under Leishmania donovani. RNAcentral's name for it is "gene:LdHU3.26.0480(CDS-product:Regulator_of_Vps4_ activity_in_the_MVB_pathway_putative)". Lineage: Eukaryota; Euglenozoa; Kinetoplastea; Trypanosomatida; Trypanosomatidae. The record is from RNAcentral.